CCCGAAAGUAACCUGGAUGACGCAGGGACAACACCGUCUCUUUACUGCUGCUUACCUGUCUUCUGUAUUUUACAGCAUGCAGGCUGAUGAACUGCACCCAUCAGGAGGAUUCAGGAGAGUUGCCCAUUGACACUCCAGAAAGAAGGGUGCUUGCCAGCAGAUCAGAUGUCUCAGCCUGGACACCCUGACUGCUCGAAGUGUCUUUUGCGUCACUGGCAGCGCGACUCACAAUGACGUCAAAUCCAGAACACAGAGGAGUUCUGCACAUCGACAUAGAGAUCAUGGAUGUCUAUGGGAUGGGAAUCAAUAGAAGAUCAAGGAAGUGCCUGGAAAAUAAGUUGAUCGUGAAAUGUUCCAGACUGAACUUUUACUUCAAAAGGAACUUCCAAAAAAGGGGAACAGACAGACACACCAGUCACAAGAACUUUGAAGCCUGGGCCUUGUGGAUGUGAAGCAGCAAAUUGAGGUGAAGAGUCAGAGGGAGGAUGCUGGCCGCUCAGAUGGAGGAUAAGAGGUCAAAAACACUGCAGCUGAAUGGGACAAAUAAGUGCUCUGCUGUUAACACAACCUGACACCUGUACAGAAAGGCUAAGCCUCGUUCAACAUGGCUGUUUUUGACUAUUCUUUGGACAAAGGGUUGUCAAAGGGGUCUGAGGGCU
This is a long non-coding RNA of Toxotes jaculatrix (banded archerfish), 659 nucleotides long. RefSeq lists it as uncharacterized. The record is from RefSeq and is a predicted model, not a curated record. The transcript is spliced from 4 exons. NCBI's taxonomy places the organism in Eukaryota, Metazoa, Chordata, Actinopteri, Toxotidae.